AGCUUCAGUUAGCUCAAUUGGUUAGAGUGUGGUGCUCAUAACGCCAAGGUUGUGGGUUCAAUCCCUACACGGGCCA
Non-coding RNA from Zootoca vivipara (common lizard), 76 nucleotides. The record is from the annotation of a RefSeq genome assembly. Lineage: Eukaryota; Metazoa; Chordata; Lepidosauria; Squamata; Lacertidae.